Long non-coding RNA from Sander lucioperca (pikeperch), 201 nucleotides. RefSeq lists it as uncharacterized. Lineage: Eukaryota; Metazoa; Chordata; Actinopteri; Perciformes; Percidae. The transcript is spliced from 3 exons. The record is from RefSeq and is a predicted model, not a curated record.
UUUCUCUGAUUCUAUAUGUAUGAAUACAGUGGUGUGAAAAAGUGUUUGCCCCCUUCCUGAUUUCUUAUUUUUUUGCAUGUUUGUCACACCUAAAUGUUUCAAAUCAUCAAAUUAAUUUAAAUAUAAGACAAAGAUAACACAAAAUGCAGUUAUUAAAUGAUGGUGUUUAUUAUUAAGGAAAAAAAAAAAUCUAAACCUACA